RNAcentral lists this transfer RNA (83 nucleotides) under Bigelowiella natans CCMP2755. RNAcentral's name for it is "tRNA-Ser for anticodon CGA". It matches the Rfam family "tRNA". Rfam says of the family: Transfer RNA (tRNA) molecules are approximately 80 nucleotides in length. The record is from RNAcentral. Lineage: Eukaryota; Cercozoa; Chlorarachniophyceae.
GGCAGCGUCCCAUAAUCUGGUAUUGGAGCCGACUCGAAAUCGGUGGGCGUAGUCCCUUGCAGGUUCAAAUCCUGUCGUUGCCU